This 253-nucleotide ribosomal RNA is filed under the name uncultured bacterium. Its description in RNAcentral is "partial 16S ribosomal RNA". It matches the Rfam family "Bacterial small subunit ribosomal RNA", at positions 524 to 776 of the family's 1533-position model. The record is from RNAcentral.
GACGUAGGGCGCGAGCGUUGUCCGGAUUUAUUGGGCGUAAAGAGCUCGUAGGCGGCUUGUUGCGUCGACUGUGAAAACCCGCGGCUUAACUGCGGGCUUGCAGUUGAUACGGGCAGGCUAGAGUUCGGUAGGGGAGACUGGAAUUCCUGGUGUAGCGGUGAAAUGCGCAGAUAUCAGGAGGAACACCGGUGGCGAAGGCGGCUCACUGGCCCGAUACUGACGCUGAGGCACGAAAGCGUGGGGAGCAAACAGG